Molecule: long non-coding RNA, 1158 nt
Filed under: Gossypium barbadense (sea-island cotton)
Lineage: Eukaryota; Viridiplantae; Streptophyta; Magnoliopsida; Malvales; Malvaceae
Description: long non-coding RNA (GBAR_LNC009575)
Source: RNAcentral
GUCAUUUUAGUUUUCUCCAUUUUAAAAGCUUCUUUGUUGGUUGGGCUUCGAUCUGUUCUUUCCUUGUAAUUUCUGACAUGUCCACUGCAUCACAAUGAAAAAUGAUAACCAGUUAGAAAUUCCACGUACAAAACCAAACAUAAAUAAAUGAAAAUGUUGGAAAAUAUUGUUCAUAAAUGAACUUCAUUGGACCACGGACAAGCUUUGGAAUCUUUUCCAAUUAAGUUCUUGAAGGUUUUUCGUUCUAUGUCAACAAAGUAACAUGUAUUUAGUUGCUUUUUUUCUUUUUUUGCCUACAAAUUCGAGAAAGAUCAGUCAUUUUUAAACGAAGUAAUGAAGAACAAUACUAUCAGGUCCCCGAGCCAUCAAGGUAAAGAAUAUAUUGUUCAGUUUCUCCAUCUUCUUGGCCUCCUAUGCUUGAUCUGUCUUGAACUUAAGGCACUAAUAGCAAAUAAAAUAGUUUAUAAUGAGAAACCCCAUAGCAUUUCCCAUGAAAGAAGUAGGGUAACAUCAAAUCCAGAAGUCAUAAAUCCAGUACUUUACAAUUGAUCAAGCUCUUUCCCUCAAACAAACAAUAAAAAUUACUAAAAUUGAAUGCCAAAAACACAAUAGAAUGUGAAAUAAUGAAAAACCACAGAAAAAGUACAUGUACGUUAGGAACGAGUCUCAUAUUUUCACAACAAAACAGAUUAUACUGAUUUUUAGAAGAGAUCCCUCAACUGCUUUGGGUUAUUCGUCCAAUACAGAUGCUAUUAUAGGUCUAUAACUUAUAGAUUCAAACUUGAGAUAUUCAAGCAACACGGAAGAUAAAGUUUGUAAGUUAAAGAAAUCAGAUACCAUGAUUUUGCAGGUAGACAACAGGGAAAAGGGGGAGGUGGCUGCAGGUGCAGGUUUUGGAGUGGACCUAGAAGAUGCUGAUUUUGCUGCAAUGUUGGAGAGCAUCGAUUGACACUUCUCCUGCUGCUGUUUAAAUCUACCUAACUUCUCUUGUAAUGCCAUCACUCAAGACCUUCUUAACCUUCAUAACUCUCAAAUCCCAGAGACAAAAAAGAAAGAAAAAUCUCAAAUCAACCAGAUUUCCUAGAACUCCCAUUUCUACUACUACCUUUGAAGAAAUGAAAAGGAAGAAGAAGUGUGAUUGGUGUAGGUGUAUUGACU